ACUUUUUUUAUUUAUGUUCUUAAUAAAUUGCUAGAAACACUUUAACACAAAUGCAUCAAACCACUUGCGCGUGUAUUACGGUUCAUUUUCUUUCUGUGCGAUAAACGGCGAAAGGCCUGCGUAAUACUGUUACAUCAAUGUGCGCUGGGUUUGAGCGGAUCAUGGAGGACUGGGAGAGUGAGAUCGUUCCCGGCCAGCCAGGUUACGUGCCGCGUGCUGCACCUAUCUUUAAAUCGACCAUUGGAAUGAGUCGCUCUGAGCGCCGCCGCCACUACGCCGAGCUUCUUAAGCAGCACCACCUGGCCAACAUGCUCCACAUCCAGAACCCACGCAAUGGAGAUGCUUGCAAGGUAAGCGCGCGUGUGACGGCCUAUACACAAUAUUUAUUUAUUUAUUUAUUUAUUUAUUUAUUUACACUGAAAUCUCAGGAAAGGAUUUUCGCAGGGUGGCCAUAUAGAUACAAGCACGGGUCAAAUAUUUACAAGAAAGCCAGAACAAAAGAAACAAAGGCCGCAAA
RNAcentral lists this long non-coding RNA (517 nucleotides) under Dermacentor andersoni. Its description in RNAcentral is "uncharacterized LOC126522180". The record is from RNAcentral. Lineage: Eukaryota; Metazoa; Arthropoda; Arachnida; Ixodida; Ixodidae.